This 121-nucleotide ribosomal RNA is filed under the name Hadarchaeum sp. (SeqCode). Lineage: Archaea; Methanobacteriati; Hadarchaeota (SeqCode); Hadarchaeia (SeqCode); Hadarchaeales (SeqCode); Hadarchaeaceae (SeqCode). The record is from RNAcentral.
GUUGGCGGCCACAGCGGCGGGGAAAUACCCGGUCCCGUCCGAUCCCGGAAGUCAAGCCCGCCAGCGAUUUGGGCUGUACUGCCGUGCGAGAGCCGGCGGGAACCCCAAGACGCUGCCAACC